This 439-nucleotide ribosomal RNA is filed under the name uncultured bacterium. Its description in RNAcentral is "bacterial SSU rRNA". It matches the Rfam family "Bacterial small subunit ribosomal RNA", at positions 959 to 1397 of the family's 1533-position model. The record is from RNAcentral.
ACGCGCGGAACCUUACCAGGUCUUGACAUCUCCUGACAACCCUAGAGAUAGGGCGUUCCCCUUCGGGGGACAGGAUGACAGGUGGUGCAUGGUUGUCGUCAGCUCGUGUCGUGAGAUGUUGGGUUAAGUCCCGCAACGAGCGCAACCCUUGAUCUUAGUUGCCAGCAUUCAGUUGGGCACUCUAAGGUGACUGCCGGUGACAAACCGGAGGAAGGUGGGGAUGACGUCAAAUCAUCAUGCCCCUUAUGACCUGGGCUACACACGUGCUACAAUGGAUGGUACAAAGGGCUGCAAGACCGCGAGGUUAAGCGAAUCCCAUAAAACCAUUCUCAGUUCGGAUUGCAGGCUGCAACUCGCCUGCAUGAAGCUGGAAUCGCUAGUAAUCGCGGAUCAGCAUGCCGCGGUGAAUACGUUCCCGGGCCUUGCACACACUGCCCGU